Molecule: long non-coding RNA, 861 nt
Filed under: Theobroma cacao (cacao)
Lineage: Eukaryota; Viridiplantae; Streptophyta; Magnoliopsida; Malvales; Malvaceae
Description: long non-coding RNA (TCAC_LNC003629)
Source: RNAcentral
UAGAAAACAAAGAGAAAGGAAUGACAAAUGAAUGAAUAUCUAGUAAUACAGGCAGAUACUUUGGGUGCAUAAUAUAAAGUCACACCUUGCAUUGACUGUUUCAAGCAUUGCACUUGUCAGCUGCUAAGCCCAAUCUCAAAAAGGAAAGCUGCAGCAUCUGUGUACCUGACGAUAACAAAACCAUCAAUAAUGCCUAUUCAUAUAAGGUUUGCUUACAUAUGCAAACAAGGUAUUUGCCUAUAAACAGAUUUUCCAACUUUACAGGCAGUUCAACACAUACAACAACAAUCUUAUGUGUGGUCAUGAGUCCAGUGCCAAAACAUGGGCAUUACUUGCAGUCUGAGAGUUCUAAACUUGUCUUCAAACAAGAGUCUCCAUGUGGCGUCAGAGGGAACUUUAGAAUUGGUUUCACUAGAGUGGCUCCAUCUACAAGGGACAAACAUAACAGUGUUGCCAAUUCAGUUUCAUAGAUUGUCAAAACUGCAAUAUUUGGACUUCAGGAGGACAUCGAUCUCUAUAAAAUCCCAUGACAAUUGAUAUGUAAAUUUUCGACCUUGCAAAUAUUCAAAUUGUAUCCAAUCAAUAGAUGCGAGGAUAAAAUAGAGAGCGUCCUAAAUGGAGGUAUUGAAGGUUUAAUACAGAACUUGAAGUGCCUGCAACAUUGGAAUGUGCUAUGUAUAGAAAUAAAAACUGUUUUGGCUCUUGAAAGCCUUUUAAUACUGUGUAAUCAUGCAUUGUAAAUGUCAAUCUAACACUAAUCACAAUUGAACACAAAUGAAGAAGUUAAAGCAAUGGAAACUAAGUGUGCUUGGUCUUACUCUUUGGGAGUUCCUUUCCUUUUGCUCAAAAAGAUAAAAUGGA